This 120-nucleotide ribosomal RNA is filed under the name Prolemur simus (greater bamboo lemur). Lineage: Eukaryota; Metazoa; Chordata; Mammalia; Primates; Lemuridae. The record is from RNAcentral.
AUCUAGGGCCAUACCACCCUGAACGCGCCCAAUCUCAUCUGAUCUCAGAAGCUAAGCAGGGUUGGGCCUGGUUAUUACUUGGAUUAGAGACCGCCUGGGAACACCAGGUGCCCGUAGGCU